Molecule: ribosomal RNA, 468 nt
Filed under: uncultured bacterium
Lineage: Bacteria
Description: partial 16S ribosomal RNA
Rfam family: Bacterial small subunit ribosomal RNA
Source: RNAcentral
GACGAACGCUGGCGGCGUGCUUAACACAUGCAAGUCGAACGGAAAGGCCCUGCUUUUGUGGGGUGCUCGAGUGGCGAACGGGUGAGUAACACGUGAGUAACCUGCCCUUGACUUUGGGAUAACUUCAGGAAACUGGGGCUAAUACCGGAUAGGAGCUCCUGCUGCAUGGUGGGGGUUGGAAAGUUUCGGCGGUUGGGGAUGGACUCGCGGCUUAUCAGCUUGUUGGUGGGGGAGUGGCUUACCAAGGCUUUGACGGGUAGCCGGCAGGUGAGGGUGACCGGCCACAUGGGGACUGCGAUACGCCCCAGACUCCUACGGGAGGCAGCAGUGGGGAAUAUUGCACAAUGGGCGGAAGCCUGAUGCAGAAACGCCGCGUGCGGGAUGACGGCCUUCGGGUUGUAAACCGCUUUCGCCUGUGACGAAGCGUGAGUGACGGUAAUGGGUAAAGAAGCACCGGCUAACUACGUG